GACCUUUAAUUAUGAUUGUACAUAUGCCCUGAGUUGCUGACUUGCUUGCUAAUCCAAGGAGUUGCUUCAAAUGCAGUGUGCCGACCUAGCCAUGGUCGACAGCAUGUGCUGCUUUCAAUGCCUCGGUUCAUGAUUUGUUGCUGGCCAAUCUUGUACCUGAUGACCUGUACUGGUGCUUGCUUACUUGGUGCAUGAUGUUGGGUUAUUAUAGCAUGUGCACAUGACAUGGUAAAGACCUUGUUGAUGUUUGCAGGUCCUGUGAAGGGCUUCUGACUUGGUUCAAAGAAAGCCAUGACUUAUGCUCAGAUGUGCUUUAAGUCAUAGUUCCUUUGCAAGUGUGCAUCCUAUUGAUCCUGCAUGCACUGACUCAUGCAGUCUUAGUUCACCUCAACAUUUCAUGGCUACCUCUACAGUUUGACAUUAAUUCUGUUUGAU
RNAcentral lists this long non-coding RNA (435 nucleotides) under Lathyrus oleraceus (garden pea). RNAcentral's name for it is "Pisum sativum (pea) long non-coding RNA (PSAT_LNC036110)". The record is from RNAcentral. Lineage: Eukaryota; Viridiplantae; Streptophyta; Magnoliopsida; Fabales; Fabaceae.